Molecule: non-coding RNA, 48 nt
Filed under: Schistosoma mansoni
Lineage: Eukaryota; Metazoa; Platyhelminthes; Trematoda; Strigeidida; Schistosomatidae
Source: RNAcentral
AUCCAACUGACGAGUCCCAAAUAGGACGAAACACGUGUCUAACUGGAU